UUCCGGUUGAUCCUGCCAGAGGCCAUUGCUAUCGGAGUCCGAUUUAGCCAUGCUAGUUGCACGGGUUUAGACCCGUGGCGAAAAGCUCAGUAACACGUGGCCAAGCUACCCUGUGGACCGGAAUAACCUCGGGAAACUGAGGACAAUUCCGGAUAACGCUCCCCUAUUGGAAUAUGGGGAGCCGGAAACGUUCAGGCGCCACAGGAUGCGGCUGCGGCCGAUUAGGUAGACGGUGGGGUAACGGCCCACCGUGCCCAUAAUCGGUACGGGUUGUGAGAGCAAGAGCCCGGAGACGGAAUCUGAGACAAGAUUCCGGGCCCUACGGGGCGCAGCAGGCGCGAAACCUUUACACUGCACGACAGUGCGAUAGGGGGACUCCGAGUGCGAGGGCAUAGAGCCCUCGCUUUUCUGUACCGUAAGGUGGUACAGGAAGAAGGGCUGGGCAAGACCGGUGCCAGCCGCCGCGGUAAUACCGGCAGCCCAAGUGAUGGCCGAUAUUAUUGGGCCUAAAGCGUCCGUAGCUGGCCGGACAAGUCCGUUGGGAAAUCCGCAUGCUUAACGUGCGGGCGUCCAGCGGAAACUGUCCGGCUUGGGACCGGAAGACCCGAGGGGUACGUCCGGGGUAGGAGUGAAAUCCUGUAAUCUCGGACGGACCACCUGUGGCGAAAGCGCCUCGGGAAGACGGAUCCGACAGUGAGGGACGAAAGCCAGGGUCUCGAACCGGAUUAGAUACCCGGGUAGUCCUGGCCGUAAACGAUGUCCGCUAAGUGGUGACGCAAGGCUACGAACCCUGCGUUUGUGCCCGUA
Molecule: ribosomal RNA, 807 nt
Filed under: Halodesulfurarchaeum formicicum
Lineage: Archaea; Methanobacteriati; Methanobacteriota; Halobacteria; Halobacteriales; Halobacteriaceae
Description: bacterial SSU rRNA
Rfam family: Archaeal small subunit ribosomal RNA
Source: RNAcentral